GUGGGGAAUCUUGCGCAAUGGGCGAAAGCCUGACGCAGCCAUGCCGCGUGAAUGAUGAAGGUCUUAGGAUUGUAAAAUUCUUUCACCGGGGACGAUAAUGACGGUACCCGGAGAAGAAGCCCCGGCUAACUUCGUGCCAGCAGCCGCGGUAAUACGAAGGGGGCUAGCGUUGCUCGGAAUUACUGGGCGUAAAGGGCGCGUAGGCGGAUCGUUAAGUCAGGGGUGAAAUCCCAGAGCUCAACUCUGGAACUGCCCUUGAUACUGGCGCUCUUGAGUGUGAGAGAGGUAUGUGGAACUCCGAGUGUAGAGGUGAAAUUCGUAGAUAUUCGGAAGAACACCAGUGGCGAAGGCGACAUACUGGCUCAUUACUGACGCUGAGGCGCGAAAGCGUGGGGAGCAAACAGGAUUAGAAACCCUGGUAGUCC
This 425-nucleotide ribosomal RNA is filed under the name uncultured bacterium. RNAcentral describes it as "partial 16S ribosomal RNA". It matches the Rfam family "Bacterial small subunit ribosomal RNA", at positions 354 to 796 of the family's 1533-position model. The record is from RNAcentral.